ACGGGAGGCAGCAGUGGGGAAUAUUGGACAAUGGGGGCAACUCUGAUCCAGCGACGCCGCGUGAGUGAAGAAGUAUUUCGGUAUGUAAAGCUCUUUAAGCAGGGAAGAAAAUGACGGUACCUGCAGAAUAAGCCCCGGCUAAUUACGUGCCAGCAGCCGCGGUAAUACGUAGGGGGCAAGCGUUAUCCGGAUUUACUGGGUGUAAAGGGAGCGUAGACGGCAAAUCAAGUCUGAAGUGAAAGCCCGCGGCUCAACUGCGGAACUGCUUUGGAAACUGAUUAGCUAGAGUGUCGGAGAGGUGAGUGGAAUUCCCAGUGUAGCGGUGAAAUGCGUAGAUAUUGGGAGGAACACCGGUGGCGAAGGCGGCUCACUGGACGAUAACUGACGUUGAGGCUCGAAAGCGUGGGGAGCAAACAGGAUUAGAUACCCUGGUA
This 434-nucleotide ribosomal RNA is filed under the name uncultured Lachnospiraceae bacterium. Its description in RNAcentral is "partial 16S ribosomal RNA". It matches the Rfam family "Bacterial small subunit ribosomal RNA", at positions 341 to 792 of the family's 1533-position model. The record is from RNAcentral. Lineage: Bacteria; Bacillati; Bacillota; Clostridia; Lachnospirales; Lachnospiraceae.